RNAcentral lists this ribosomal RNA (497 nucleotides) under uncultured bacterium. Its description in RNAcentral is "partial 16S ribosomal RNA". It matches the Rfam family "Bacterial small subunit ribosomal RNA", at positions 28 to 507 of the family's 1533-position model. The record is from RNAcentral.
GACGAACGCUGGCGGCGUGCCUAAUACAUGCAAGUAGAACGCUGAAGAGAGGAGCUUACUCUUCUUGGAUGAGUUGCGAACGGGUGAGUAGCGCGUAGGUAACCUGCCUUGUAGCGGGGGAUAACUAUUGGAAACGAUAGCUAAUACCGCAUAACAAUGGAUGACACAUGUCAUUUAUUUGAAAGGGGCAAUUGCUCCACUACAAGAUGGACCUGCGUUGUAUUAGCUAGUAGGUGAGGUAAUGGCUCACCUAGGCGACGAUACAUAGCCGACCUGAGAGGGUGAUCGGCCACACUGGGACUGAGACACGGCCCAGACUCCUACGGGAGGCAGCAGUAGGGAAUCUUCGGCAAUGGGGGCAACCCUGACCGAGCAACGCCGCGUGAGUGAAGAAGGUUGUCGGAUCGUAAAGCUCUGUUGUAAGUCAAGAACGGGUGUGAGAGUGGAAAGUUCACACUGUGACGGUAGCUUACCAGAAAGGGACGGCUAACUACGUG